CACGCCCUAAACGAUGUCAACUAGCUGUUGGGACCAAUAGGUCUUAGUAGCGCAGCUAACGCGUGAAGUUGACCGCCUGGGGAGUACGGUCGCAAGAUUAAAACUCAAAGGAAUUGACGGGGACCCGCACAAGCGGUGGAUGAUGUGGAUUAAUUCGAUGCAACGCGAAAAACCUUACCUACGCUUGACAUGUCUGGAAUCCUGAAGAGAUUUAGGAGUGCCCGUAAGGGAACCGGAACACAGGUGC
Molecule: ribosomal RNA, 247 nt
Filed under: uncultured Alcaligenaceae bacterium
Lineage: Bacteria; Pseudomonadati; Pseudomonadota; Betaproteobacteria; Burkholderiales; Alcaligenaceae
Description: partial 16S ribosomal RNA
Rfam family: Bacterial small subunit ribosomal RNA
Source: RNAcentral